RNAcentral lists this non-coding RNA (510 nucleotides) under Pan troglodytes (chimpanzee). Lineage: Eukaryota; Metazoa; Chordata; Mammalia; Primates; Hominidae. The record is from RNAcentral.
CUUAAGUCACCAGUGCUAUUACACAUGACAUUGGGAAAACUGAGGCUUCCAUUAGCCCUGCAGGGACACAGUUGUGAUCUUCACACCUAGCCAUCUUCUCUACUGUUUUGAAAAAUUAUUGCAGAAGUUUUCAAACAUGCAAAAGGAUAUAAUAUAGUGAACACCUAGACCCAUCACUCAGCACCUCACUGGAAGUUACCAAGACUGUAAUCUGCUACUUUUCCCUACCCCGCCCUCCAUUUUUUUUCUUUUACUUUUCUCUUUUUUUUGAGACAGAGUCUCACUCUGUUGCUCAAAUUAGAGUGCAGGAGUGCAAUUCCAGCCUGGGCAACAAGAGCAAAACUCCAUCUCAAUCAAUCAAUCAAUCAAUAACAAAUCUCAGACCACAUGUCGUUUUAGCCUAUUUCAGUUUGCAUUUCAAUCCGGGUUUCAAUCCGGAUCUAACCAAGAUCCACACAUUCAUCUGAUAGCGCCAUCUCUUAAAUCUCUUCUCAUCAAGAGUACCUGACU